RNAcentral lists this ribosomal RNA (301 nucleotides) under uncultured bacterium. RNAcentral describes it as "partial 16S ribosomal RNA". It matches the Rfam family "Bacterial small subunit ribosomal RNA", at positions 509 to 809 of the family's 1533-position model. The record is from RNAcentral.
CAGUAGCCGCGGGAAUACGGAGGGGGCUAGCGUUGUUCGGAAUUACUGGGCGUAAAGCGCACGUAGGCUGUUUUGUAAGUUAGAGGUGAAAGCCUGGUGCUCAACACCAGAACUGCCUUUAAGACUGCAGAGCUAGAACGCCGGAGAGGUGAGUGGAAUUCCGAGUGUAGAGGUGAAAUUCGUAGAUAUUCGGAAGAACACCAGUGGCGAAUGCGGCUCACUGGACGACUGUUGACGCUGAGGUGCGAAAGCGUGGGGAGCAAACAGGAUUAGAGACCCCAGUAGUCCCUGUCUCUUAUAA